Molecule: RNA transcript, 4309 nt
Organism: Aquila chrysaetos chrysaetos
Lineage: Eukaryota; Metazoa; Chordata; Aves; Accipitriformes; Accipitridae
Gene: EGLN1
Gene name: egl-9 family hypoxia inducible factor 1
Exons: 5
Source: RefSeq, a predicted model, not a curated record
GCGGGCCCCCGCGGCAGCCCCGCGCCCGGCCGCCCCGAAGGAGGCCGCGGGCCGGCGGAGGGCGGAGGGCGGCGGGGGCCGCGGCGGAGCCGGGCGGCCAUGAUGCAGUGAGCGCUCCCUCCCCGCGCGGCCGGGUGGGGGCCCGCGUUAGCGCCGCUCCCGCCCGCCUCCUUACAUAACCCCUCGGCCGCGGAGCGGGGCUGCGGCGGCACCUCCACCAGCGCCAUGGCGAAUGACAGCGGCGGCGGAGCCGGCCAGGGCGGCGGCGAGAGUAGCGGCGGCGGCGGCAGCAGCGAGCGGGACCGGCAGUACUGCGAGCUGUGCGGGAAGAUGGAGAACCUGCUGCGGUGCGGGCGCUGCCGCAGCUCCUUCUACUGCAGCAAGGAGCACCAGCGCCAGGACUGGAAGAAGCACAAGCUCAUCUGCCGCGGCGGAGGCGCGGCGGCGGCGGCGGUAGCGACGGCCGCAGCAGGGGGCGCUGCCGAGCCCCGCGGCGGGCACCCCCCGCCGCCGACCCGCGCCCACAGCGGCGGGGCCGCGGCGGGAGGCGGCAGCCGGGCGGCCGGAGCCGGAGCGGCGGCGGGCAAGGGCGCAGCGCCGCCGCCCCCGGAGUCCCCCGGCGAGGCCGCCCCGCUGACCAACAACCACGUCGCCGCCGCCGCCGCAGGAGCGGCCGGCGGCGGUGAGGCGGAGGCCGCGGCCGCGGCCCCGGCCCCGGCCCAGUCCCCGUCGCCCUCCGGGGAGGCGGUGCUGCUGUACCGGGACAAGUCGAACCUGUACCCGGGCGGCGUGCAGGCGGGGCCCGGCGGGGCCGCGCUGCGCCCCAACGGGCAGACGAAGUCGCUGGUGCCGCAGCGGCUGGCGCUGGAGUACAUCGUGCCCUGCAUGAACAAGCACGGCAUCUGCGUGGUGGACGACUUCCUCGGCAAGGAGCUGGGCGGGCUGGUGGCCCAGGAGGUGCGGGCCCUCCACCACACCGGCCGCUUCACCGACGGGCAGCUCGUCAGCCAGAAGAGCGACUCCUCCAAGGACAUCCGCGGCGACAAGAUCACCUGGGUGGAGGGCAAGGAGCCGGGCUGCCAGACCAUCCGGCUCCUCAUGAACAGCAUGGACGAUCUCAUCCGACACUGCAACGGCAAGCUGGGCAACUACAAAAUCAACGGCAGGACGAAAGCUAUGGUGGCUUGUUAUCCAGGCAAUGGAACGGGAUACGUGCGCCAUGUUGAUAAUCCAAAUGGAGACGGAAGAUGCGUUACAUGUAUAUAUUAUCUUAAUAAAGACUGGGAUGCUAAGGUAAGUGGAGGCAUCCUUCGGAUAUUUCCAGAAGGUAAAGCCCAAUUCGCUGAUAUUGAACCCAAAUUCGAUAGACUGCUAUUCUUCUGGUCUGAUCGCCGCAACCCUCAUGAAGUACAGCCAGCAUUUGCUACAAGUUCAGGAGUUCUUUUUCCAUCCGUUUCCCUAGGUACGCAAUAACAGUGUGGUAUUUUGAUGCAGAUGAAAGAGCACGAGCUAAAGUAAAAUAUCUAACAGGUGAAAAAGGUGUGAGGGUUGAACUUAAUAAACCUUCAGACUCAGUUGGGAAAGACGUUUUAUAAGCCUUUGAUUUAGCAACUCCCCUUGCUAUUCUCCCUGAUAAAUCUUGAUGCUAUCUAUUAACUUUUGAAUGUGAAUAACAAGAUAAAGGAAAAUCAACAACAAACCAACAUUUUAAUAAAGAAGCAAACAGUGUUUCAAUGUUGCAUCAAAUAGAAGGUUCUUUGACUGCUGAAGCAUUGUACUAUGUGAUUGUGACUCCAGGCCUGUGACUGCUUAUGUGAAGAAGAUAAGCAAUCAGUAAGAAACAGCAUAUGCAUCUGGACAUAAAUAAGUGCCCUACAUAGAAUUUGUCCAUCCUUAUAUUUUGCCAGACCUGUCAUCCAGCUGAAUCCAAUUCAUCUCUCCCUUUUUUUAUAUGGUAAAAGUUUGAAUUUUGGGUAAUUUUUGUAUGACCAGGUACAGUUUAUCAAAAUUGAGUCUUAAAAAAAAAAAAAAAAAAAAAAAAGAAAAACUGAAAAAAAAAAAAAAGAGAAAAAAAUUACAGUAUUCUCCAAAAUAACAUGGAUCUAUUUUUGUAAAACUGUUCAUACUGUUCUCCUCUGCCAUGAAAGACCUAAUUUAAUGUAAGGGUUGCCAGUAACUGAUAAUCACUUUAAUUUUCUUUACACCUUAAGUCAGAAAAGGAGCACUUUAAUUACCAGCUAAAAACCUGAUUGUUUUAUAUCAUAUCUCACACUAAUCUUAACUUUUAAAGAUUGCUGCUGUAUUGUUUUUUUGACUAUGUCCUCUUGAACCUUAUUAACAGAAGCAAAUCAGUAUCUUGCUAUUAGUAACAUUCAGUUUGUGGUUUUGUAUGUUGAAUCCACAGAGGGGAAGUUUCUGUCUCUUCUUUGUUUUUUUGGUUUGGUUUUUUUUUUUGUUUUGUUUUGGGUUUUUUUCUUGUUUGUUUUGUUUUGUGGGGGUUUUUUUUAAGUGACUGGCACUAAGUGAACUUGACACUAUCGGUUGCUGUCAUUGGCUUUGGGGACCUGGUAAAUACCAUCAAGUUACAAGAAUAUACAAGGGCUUUCCUAGGCUAUUAGAGGUACCCAGAACCUCCUUACGUACUUGACAGAAAAUUUUGAGCUUUCUCCCUUUUCUAAAGAAUACUUGCCACCGCCCUUUCCUUUGUAUAUAAGUUAAUAGAAUAUCUAAAAUUCACUUUUUUUUUUUUAUUUCCUUUUCAAAUGUUGAUGUCCCAUGCAGUCUGUAAGUUGACACCUUGAUCUAUUAUAUAGUAUCAAGGAGAUGGUCAGCACACUGAAGCUGAAGUGCAUCACUGUAGGCUCCUUGUGCAAUACAUCUUUAGGUUUUCGCUGUGCUGAAGGAUUUCAAAAGGCAAUGGCCUUUGAUCAGUACUGAGGAAUAUAUUUAGUAAGAAAACAUUUACUUUCUUUUACAUUGUUUUCAUUUUAUCAAGGAGAGGGGACAUCACAGAAUAGAAGUGAGAUGUGCAGAAACUUUGAUACUCUUAUUUUUAAGAAAUGAAUGUUUUGGACGCUGAUUUUUUUUUUUUUUUUUUUUUUCCCCUCCUCUUCUUUCUUUUUUUUCCUGAGCUUUAAAAGCUUGAGAAAACAAAAGCAAACCUAUGAAAGACAGCAUUCAUAUUUAUAGGAGUUUGGGGGUUGAUCAACUUAUCCACUGCAGUUUUCUAUCUGUCCCUUAUUUCCUUACUUAGCCAAAACAAUGUGAGUGUACAGAAAUAUUUCUGUAUAUAUUACAACUUGUGACAAUUUUAGCAUCUGUAUAGUUUGUAUUCAAUUAGAGACCUUUUCUAUGGAAAGCUCAGUAAUUUUUUAUUAAAAAGAUUACUAUUGUUCAUGUAAAACAUGAAAAAGCUAAUUGUUUAGUAACAAACUGACAGAAGGGGGAAAAAAAAUCAGUAUUCGUAUAUCAUUUAGGAGAACCAACAGAAAUCCCAGGGGUUUUUUUACUUUGCUUUUCCUUUUUUUUUUUUUUUUUUUUUUUUUUUUUUUUUUUUUUUUUAAGUAAGUUCUUGCCCUUUACAGUUCUCUUCCUCUUUUCUUCCCAGAAAAACAGACAGGAUACCUUUACUGUAAGUGCCUCUGCCAACCUGGCCAAGGAGUGCAAAUCUUCAUUACUGUCUGGUCUGCAGUGCAUUUAGGCUACUAAUGAAACAAGCAAAAAAAGCCACCUCUUCUACUUCAUCUUCUUUAGUGCUACUUUAUCGGAGGUUUGGUUGGUUUUGUUUUAGAAAUGUAAGCAUAAGCCUUUAAACUCAUUUCACUCCCUCCGUAAUUCAAACUUCUGCAGUUACAUGGCGUAUCAAAUUCUAAUCACACUGUAGGUUUGUGCUUGCCAGACAGGUUUAAAAAGUGCUUAAUUUUUCACUCCAUAUAAGUCAUUACAAUAGGGUCAACCAAUCAGGUCAGCCAUUUCUUCCGUGUCCUUUAGAAACUGUUCAUUUCAUGUCGGUUGAACAUUCAGUCUUGAGCAUCACCAAGCAGGUCCUUGUUUUAAAACUAUUUUUUAAACUGUCUUAUGAUCUGUAUGUGUCUAGUCCUGGUUAAAGAUAAAGCUUCAUAAUGUUAUUUUUAUUCAUGAUGUUAGCUGGCUGUGAAAUAUGAGACCUUUAUCUAUAGCAGGCGAAGAAAUUCAGGAUUCAUUUACAGGUUGCCUAUAAAGUUGUGUAAUUUGAAAAGCAGUGUUCAUUAUGAAAGAGCUCUCAAGUUGCUUGUAAAGCUAAUCUAAUUAAAAAAAGAUGAUGUAUAAA